UGCCAGCCGCCGCGGUAACACGAACCGGACAAACGUUAUUCGGAAUUAUUGGGCUUAAAGGGUGUGUAGGCGGUCAUGUAGGUCAGGUGUGAAAUCCCACAGCUCAACUGUGGAACUGCGCUUGAAACCACAUGGCUUGAGGGAGAUAGAGGUGAGCGGAACAGAUGGUGGAGCGGUGAAAUGCGUUGAUAUCAUCUGGAACACCGGUGGCGAAAGCGGCUCACUGGAUCUUUUCUGACGCUGAGGAACGAAAGCUAGGGUAGCGAACGGGAUUAGAUA
This 279-nucleotide ribosomal RNA is filed under the name uncultured bacterium. RNAcentral describes it as "partial 16S ribosomal RNA". It matches the Rfam family "Bacterial small subunit ribosomal RNA", at positions 506 to 784 of the family's 1533-position model. The record is from RNAcentral.